Molecule: long non-coding RNA, 514 nt
Organism: Quercus robur (English oak)
Lineage: Eukaryota; Viridiplantae; Streptophyta; Magnoliopsida; Fagales; Fagaceae
Exons: 2
Source: RefSeq, a predicted model, not a curated record
CAACAAACACAUGGGAAGUGGACACUCCAGUUAAACCACCAGAUGUACUUUUCAGCAUAUUUCUUGGCAGUGUAACACAUGAUCAGAUAUUGAAGGUAUCAAGAGAAGGGAAAAAAAAAAUGCAAGUAAAAUAACUGAUUUUAUCAGUUCAAACAAGUUUCUUUGCUGAUUUUUAGCUUGAUGGCGGUGUAGAUUAUUUCAGUUUCAUCUCAAUUCUGAUAUGAAGAUUUGCUUUAGAUUUCUUUCAUAAACCAACCCAUGACCCUUCAUUUGGAAGUGUAAUGUUUAGCAUGCCAUUGCAUGGCAGCGUUGGUUGAUCUUUUAUGAGAGGAUCUAUGCAGCUUUAUUUAUUUUUAGUUUUGUUUCCUUGGAGGACUUGGGAUUAUUAUAAAGUAUUUGAUUGUCGUGUAUCAUGUUUCCUCUUUUGGAAGAUUGGAAACUUUCACGGAAAAUUGGGUACUUUGGAUUACCAGUGCUGUAUAUAAAACUUUUGCUUGGAAAUAUUUUCCUUCAA